Molecule: microRNA, 21 nt
Filed under: Brachypodium distachyon (stiff brome)
Lineage: Eukaryota; Viridiplantae; Streptophyta; Magnoliopsida; Poales; Poaceae
Description: bdi-miR5173-3p
Source: miRBase by way of RNAcentral
UGCAUCUGUAUAUACGAGAAG